Molecule: ribosomal RNA, 694 nt
Filed under: uncultured Glomeromycotina
Lineage: Eukaryota; Fungi; Glomeromycota
Description: SSU rRNA
Rfam family: Eukaryotic small subunit ribosomal RNA
Source: RNAcentral
AUGGUGGUAACGGGUAACGGGGUGUUAGGGCACGACACCGGAGAGGGAGCCUGAGAAACGGCUACCACAUCCAAGGAUGGCAGCAGGCGCGCAAAUUACCCAAUCCCGACACGGGGAGGUAGUGACAAUAAAUAACAAUACAGGGUUCUUUUGGAUCUUGUAAUUGGAAUGAGUACAAUUUAAAUCUCUUAACGAGGAACAAUUGGAGGGCAAGUCUGGUGCCAGCAGCCGCGGUAAUUCCAGCUCCAAUAGCGUAUAUUAAAGUUGUUGCAGUUAAAAAGCUCGUAGUUGAAUUUCGGGAUCAAGGAAUCGGUCAUGCCUCGGUAUGUACUGGUUUUAUUGGUUCUCACCUUCUAAAGAACCAUAAUGUCAUUCAUUUGGUGUUAUGGGGAAUUAGGACUGUUACCUUGAAAAAAUUAGAGUGUUUAAAGCAAGCUUACGCUUGGAUACAUUAGCAUGGAAUAAUGAAAUAGGACAUCCGAUUCUAUUUUGUUGGUUUCUAGGAUCGAUGUAAUGAUUAAUAGGGAUAGUUGGGGGCAUUAGUAUUCAAUUGUCAGAGGUGAAAUUCUUGGAUUUAUUGAAGACUAACUACUGCGAAAGCAUUUGCCAAGGAUGUUUUCAUUAAUCAAGAACGAAAGUUAGGGGAUCGAAGACGAUCAGAUACCGUCGUAGUCUUAACCAUAAACUAUGCCGA